GACGAACGCUGGCGGCGUGCUUAACACAUGCAAGUCGAACGCUGAAGCUCAGCUUUUGUUGGGUGGAUGAGUGGCGAACGGGUGAGUAACACGUGAGUAACCUGCCCCCUUCUUUGGGAUAACGCCCGGAAACGGGUGCUAAUACUGGAUAUUCACUGAUCUUCGCAUGGGGGUUGGUGGAAAGGGUUUUUUCUGGUGGGGGAUGGGCUCGCGGCCUAUCAGCUUGUUGGUGGGGUGAUGGCCUACCAAGGCUUUGACGGGUAGCCGGCCUGAGAGGGUGACCGGUCACAUUGGGACUGAGAUACGGCCCAGACUCCUACGGGAGGCAGCAGUGGGGAAUAUUGCACAAUGGGCGAAAGCCUGAUGCAGCGACGCCGCGUGAGGGAUGGAGGCCUUCGGGUUGUAAACCUCUUUCGCUCAUGGUCAAGCCGCAGCUUUGGGUUGUGGUGAGGGUAGUGGGUAAAGAAGCGCCGGCUAACUACGUGCCAGCAGCUGCGUUAAUACGUAGGGUGCGAGCGUUGUCCGGAAGUAUUGGGCGUAAAGGGCUUGUAGGCGUGUGGUCUCGUCUGCCCGUGAAUCCUCUGGUGUAACUGGGUGCGUGCGGUGGUACGGGCGACUUUAGUGCGGGUGGGGAUCUGGUACUCUGUGUGUAUCGGGUAAUGCCAGAUAUUAUGAAUAACUCUGGUGGUGAAGGGGUGUCUUUUGGGCUUUUGGUGUGUGAUGGAUGUAAGUGUGGGAGCGAAUGUUAUAUGAUCUGGUGGGUGUUGGGGAGUUGUUUUGGUUGUUGUCUGUUGAUGUCGUGAACAUGAUGUAGUGAUGAAAUUUUUUGUACUGUGUGUGUUAUGUAUCUGUGUGUGUGAUGUUGUGUCGAUGU
RNAcentral lists this ribosomal RNA (874 nucleotides) under uncultured Mycoplasma sp. RNAcentral describes it as "bacterial SSU rRNA". The stretch from base 1 to 523 matches the Rfam family "Bacterial small subunit ribosomal RNA", at positions 28 to 545 of the family's 1533-position model. Lineage: Bacteria; Bacillati; Mycoplasmatota; Mollicutes; Mycoplasmatales; Mycoplasmataceae. The record is from RNAcentral.